RNAcentral lists this ribosomal RNA (496 nucleotides) under uncultured bacterium. RNAcentral describes it as "partial 16S ribosomal RNA". It matches the Rfam family "Bacterial small subunit ribosomal RNA", at positions 28 to 506 of the family's 1533-position model. The record is from RNAcentral.
GAUGAACGCUGGCGGCGUGCCUAAUACAUGCAAGUCGAGCGAACAGACGAGGAGCUUGCUCCUCUGACGUUAGCGGCGGACGGGUGAGUAACACGUGGAUAACCUACCUAUAAGACUGGGAUAACUUCGGGAAACCGGAGCUAAUACCGGAUAAUAUAUUGAACCGCAUGGUUCAAUAGUGAAAGACGGUUUUGCUGUCACUUAUAGAUGGAUCCGCGCCGCAUUAGCUAGUUGGUAAGGUAACGGCUUACCAAGGCGACGAUGCGUAGCCGACCUGAGAGGGUGAUCGGCCACACGUGAACUGAGACCGGGUCCCAAAUCCUACGGGAGGCAGCAGGAGGGAAUCUUCCGCAAGGGGCGAAAGCCUGACGGAGCAACGCCGGGGGAGUGAUGAAGGUUUUCGGAUCGUAAAACUCUGUUAUUAGGGAAGAACAAAUGUGUAAGUAACUAUGCACGUUUUGACGGUACCUAAUCAGAAAGCCACGGCUAACUACGU